CACUCAUGCAAGAGUCUGCCCCUCGAUGGGUGUUGAAUUAGAAGCCUGUCCCGCAGGCCACAGCUAUGAAGCUGCAGGUCAUCUGAGGCGGGAGAAUGUGUGAGAACCGAGAUUUCAGAGACUGAAGGUGCGUGGCAUAAAUGAAUCAUGACUGAAAACACUGCCCGGCAUCUUCGCAGGGCCGCAUGUGUGUGACAAGAGAGGCGAGGAAGCGUUAUUUCUAAAAUAGCAGAAAAGCACAUUUGGCACAAUGGGAAAGAAAUCUCUCAGCAUUUUUUCUUAAUCCAUUGAAAGACACCCAUCAUGAGCCCGUCCAUUAAACUUGGGGAACGUGGAGACCCAAAGCAAGUGACUGUGAAGCUCUGGCCACCGCUUCU
Molecule: long non-coding RNA, 377 nt
Organism: Myotis brandtii (Brandt's bat)
Lineage: Eukaryota; Metazoa; Chordata; Mammalia; Chiroptera; Vespertilionidae
Exons: 4
Source: RefSeq, a predicted model, not a curated record